RNAcentral lists this ribosomal RNA (220 nucleotides) under uncultured bacterium. Its description in RNAcentral is "partial 16S ribosomal RNA". It matches the Rfam family "Bacterial small subunit ribosomal RNA", at positions 129 to 334 of the family's 1533-position model. The record is from RNAcentral.
CCCUUCAGAGGGGACAACAGUUGGAAACGACUGCUAAUACCGCAUACGAUCCAAUCUCGGCAUCGAGACUGGAUGAAAGGUGGCCUCUAUUUAUAAGCUAUCACUGAAGGAGGGGAUUGCGUCUGAUUAGCUAGUUGGAGGGGUAACGGCCCACCAAGGCGAUGAUCAGUAGCCGGUCUGAGAGGAUGAACGGCCACAUUGGGACUGAGACACGGCCCAG